Molecule: ribosomal RNA, 253 nt
Filed under: uncultured bacterium
Lineage: Bacteria
Description: partial 16S ribosomal RNA
Rfam family: Bacterial small subunit ribosomal RNA
Source: RNAcentral
UACGGAGAGUGCAAACGUUGUUCGGAUUCACUGGGCGUAAAGGGCACGUAGGCGGCUCGGCAAAUCGGUCGUGGAAUCCAGACGCUUACCGCCUGAACGGCGGCCGAAAAUACCGGGCUCGAGGGCGUGAGGGGUCACUGGAACUCCUGGUGAAGCGGUGAAAUGCGUAGAUAUCAGGAGGAACGCCGGAGGCGAAAGCGAGUGACUGGCGCGUUCCUGACGCUGAGGUGCGAAAGCUAGGGGAGCGAACGGG